This is a long non-coding RNA of Globicephala melas (long-finned pilot whale), 5574 nucleotides long. RefSeq lists it as uncharacterized. The record is from RefSeq and is a predicted model, not a curated record. Lineage: Eukaryota; Metazoa; Chordata; Mammalia; Artiodactyla; Delphinidae.
UCGGCUGGGCGCGAGGUCGCCGUCGCCGCCAGCGCGGCCGCCGCACCGGCACCCGCCGGCGGGCCGCCCGAGUGGAACGCGGGCCCGGAUGGAACGCCGGGGAACCCGGAGGAGGGGCUCUGGUCGCCGGGAACGAGGCAGGCGGCGGGGUUUGGAGACAGAAAACUUAUCACAAGAUGCGGCCACCCUGGACCUGCAUUCCUACAGAGCAACAGGGGCAGAGGCGCCCUAUAGCCGGGCCGCGAUGAAGCAGGUUGCCCACCGCUGAGUUCAGUGACCGUAAAGUUAGCCAGCAUGGAUUGAGAUGCGGCCCCGUGCUGGGCCUGCAUACACAGUGCUCCCUUGAUGCUCACGACGCCCCCGUGACGGCAGGACCUUGCAGAGAAGGAAACCAGCUGCUCGUCUGAGGUCACGUGGUGUGAGUGGCAGGGCUGUGAUUUACCAACGCUGACAGCAGCAAGGUCCAACAGCCAGUGGGCAGGGAACACUCUAUGUAGGCCAAGCCCCGCAGUUAAUGCGGGACACACCAGUUCACCGGAUCCCAACUCACCCUGUACAGCGGGCUCUACCAUGGCCCCAUUUUACAGAGGAGGAAACUGGGGCUGAGAGGGGAGGUCAUUCACUGGGCUUCCCAACAGGUAAGGUGUCCAGCCAGGACUCAAACCUCUACCUGCCCAAGCUUGCAACGACUGCCUAUGAUUUUACCUGGACCAUGUUACACUGCAGUUAUGGCACGUGGAAGCCUUAAAUAUAUGGAUGCCAACACACAGCCAUCUGAGCUACAUGGGUAAUUCUUUCCACCACCUUGGCCUAGAAAUCAGCGGGUGCCAGGAGAGGGGCAGGUCCGUCCCUCUUUUGGUCUCCCAUAGUCUAGGUGCUCCUAACACGUAAAGUUAUUUAUUUCUAUCUACCAACAUCAUCUGUUCAUCAAGUAAAGAUACGGUGAACUUGACAAUGAUGAAGGAAAAGGUGAGGUGUCCUCACUAAGAACUAGUAGGGAAGUGUGCUUUCAUGGCCCACUUUCAAUACAAGGAACAAAAGAGCAGAUAUGUCUGAAUAUAAGAAAGUAGCCAGUGUAAACUUCCAUGUCAGAGUUGAUGAAAAUAGUCAUGCGAACUUCCCAACAAGUGAGUGCAGAGGUGCUGGUUCACCCAGAUGCUCUCUGGAAGGGAACCGGCAGUGCUGAGGUCCCUGAGGAAGGGGAACGGGGCAGCUAGAGGAGGGAGACUCUCUCUUCCUUUCCACCCCUGUUUUGUUUGCUGCUUCUCCCUCCAUCUCUGGUCCCACAUCUAAUCCCAGGCCUGCAGGUGCCCACUCUGAGGCACUGGAUGUGUCCUUAAACGGCAUCCGUGAGAAAUCCGGAGUGCUUGUGUGGAUGUGGGUUGUUAAAAGAUGCUUGAGUUUGCUGGGGCUGUCAACCUUGUUUGGUUUCUCACCUUUUUCACUUACAUUUUGUUUUUAUUUUUUUUUGGCCACCCCGCGUGUCAUGUGGGAUGUUAGUUCCCCAACCAGGGAUCAAACAUGUGCCCCCGGCAGUGGAAGCGUGGAGUCUUAACCACUGGACCACCAGGGAAGCCCCCAAGAAUCUGUUUUUAAAGGGAGUUUUACUUUCCGGUGAAUAAUGUUUUGUACUAUUUGAAUUUUUUUUUUUUUUUUACCACGUGCAUAAAUUAUACUUUCAAAAGCAAAGACUCAAAAUAAAUGAAAGGUGAAAAAUAAGUGAAGAGCUGAAGUAUGUAAAUGAUAAUCUAAAACAGCAGGUCCUCCUUGGCCCACUUUCUCCCAAAUUGCUCCCCUUAAAACCUCCAGACCGGGACUUCCCUGGUGGUCCAGUGGUUAAGACUUUGCCUUCCAAUGCACAGAGUGCGGGUCGCGGAUCUGAGGGCCCACAUGCCUCAGGGCCAAAAACCUCCAGACCGGUGAGUGGCACCGUCCCGGGAGGCAGGCAGACGGCCACCUCCUCUCCUUGGACUCAGGAGGGAGGCCAAGCGGGGGCGGACAGGCGAGGGGCGAGGGACACUUACGGGCCUCUGGGCAGCAGCACUUUUCGGGGCAGCAGGGGCACCUGACGUAACAGCAGCAGGUGUGGGGGCAACACUGACACCAGCAGAUGCCCAGCAGGAGGAAGACAAGGAAGGCAGCCAGGCAGACCACGACCACGAACAGCCAGUCUGCGGAGAGACAAGAGCCGGCCCUGAGCUGGGAGGCCGGGGAGGGCACAGGGAUGCGGGCACCGGGGGCAGUGCGGAGUGAGGGUGGGGCAGGGGCCCUCUGCAGAGCUCUCCGGGAAGCUGCAGCUCUCGCUGGAGUCUCCGCACCAGGGGCUGGGGCGCAGCUGCAGAGGGACGCCCGCUCCUCUACAACACGGGCCGGCCCCAAAGUUAGGGAGCUCGCCCCAGGCUCAUCUGGACGAGGCAGUGAACACAAGGCGACCCGGCCAGAGCAAGAUAGGCUGUAGCCUUGAGAGAGGACAGAGAGCCAGCUGCCCAGAUCCCGACCCCCAGAAGGGCACUGCAGGCACCAGUCACAGGAGCCCCCUGCCUACACCCCAGGCCCCUCGUCAGCCAGCCCAGCCCACCCCACGGCCCAGAGCCAGGUCACUAGAUGCGCCGGAGUCGGAGUCAGGCGGCGUUUUUAGUGGGGUCUGAGUGAGCGGCGUUUAGGGCGGGGGAGAGUACUCGGACAGAAGCGGUAAGUGGUACAUGGGGGACUCCACCCGCCCUACCUUCCAUGGGCCCCGCCUGAAAACCGGGUAAGAGCUCAGCCACCCCAGAGGUCCUGCCUGGAGGGACAAAAGAGAGACAGAUUAUGCUGCCCCUGCCCUGAAGCCCAGCUCCGGGGUCAUCAGGGUGGAGGUAUGCCCUGCAGAAGAGGUGGGGUCGGUGGACUAGCAGGGUCCGAGCAUGUGGUUCCUCCCCCAUCCCCCCAUCCUAUGUGGGUGCUGUUUUCCAGAAGAUUUCCAUCACGUAAUUCACUCACUCUCUCCCGCCAUGGGGGAUUCUAUUGCCCAGAAGGGUUCCAGGAUGUAUCCCAUGGGUUCUGAAGGAUCGACCUUAGUUUGGGACUCCAUCUCUUCCACACACACAGGUCCUAUUGCCCCAAAGGGUUCCAUCCCAGGUGAGAGGGGCAGUCCCUGUUCCACCAGGCACAAGAGGCACAGUAAUGCUAGGGCCCAUAGAAAUGUUUUAUUUUAAAAUCUGAAGAAAAAAAUACGACAAUACUGAAUAUAUAACAAUGACUUGUCUUUAUAACAACACAAUCAUAAAAUGUGUUUUUUUAAUCCAGAGGAAGAGGCCCUUGAAGGCGAAAGUGCCUACAACCCAUAAAAGUCACAGUAUGGCCCUGGUUCUCUGCCCACCGGGGUCCCCUACGCAAGCUUCAUGGCACAGCUAGUGUCUCGUUUAGGUGCCACCCGGCACUCUGUGCCCCGCGAGUGCUGUAUCUCAGGGGCAUCGACACACCUGGCUGUACACCAACAAAGCUCUAUCCAGAGCUCAGCACCCCAUGCCACAUGCCCCCAGAAGGUUCUAGCAUAUAAACCAGCGGUUCUCAAAGUGUGGUCCUGUCUGGGAGGCCAAGCCGCUCUCCUGAUGACACUAAGCCAUCGUUUGCCCUUCUCACUCUCCUUCGCCAGCGCUCUCCUGGUAACACUAAGCCAUUGUUUGCCCUCCUCACUCUCCUUCGCCAGUAGAGGUGCAGGCAGGGGAGCUUUCCACAGGCUCCAUCACAUGUGAUGAUGUCAUGUGCUCUGAUGGUAAUCGACUGUGUGCCGGAUUCAAUUUAUAAUAUGUUAAACAACUAUAAAUAUAACCCACAGAAACGUAAACAAAAUUUCUUUGAGCUCCUCAAUAAUCUUUUACGUGGGUCCUGUGACUAAACUUGAGACAUGCUGAUGUAGAUUGUGCAUUUUACCAAAGAACACACAGAUUUCUCUGGGUCACUGGUGCAUGCAUUCUGUCACCCAGACAUGAACUCUGUUGCAUGAUCUGAGCACCCUGGGGCGUGCUCCCCCAUCCUGUGCUCGUGCACACAUGCGUCACCUUGCAUCAUGCAUGUGAUGAUGGCAACAUCUCACAUAGAGCACACACCACGCGAGACUGUAUGUGUCGGCUGAGAACAGAGCAUCUGGCCAACGGCAGCAUCCCUUCCACACAUGGCGGGGGGGUGGGGGCUCACAGCCGGGCGGAGGCUGCUGGCGGGUACCCCAGCCUGCCCCUGAGCUUGUAGAGGCAGCCGAGCUUAAGGGGAGCAAUAACUACACAAGCCACACAGUGCCAUCCCAGCAGGGCAGAGGGCCGGCUUCCCGUGCUCUGGCAAGGGACUCCGGGGUGAGAGGUGGCUCUGGGGGUGGGGCAGAAGCCUCCUCUCAAUUAUAUACGCCAUCAACCCUCCUCGCUCACUGCCCAUCAACUCUAACCGUUUCUGUAUUUUUAAAAACGGAGACUGGGAAGAGGUAGAGUCCCCAUUUCUCUCCACUCUUAGUUCUGGCUCUGGUUUAUUUGAAAUGUUGUGGCGGGCGAGGGGUCCCUACUCUGCCUGGGGUGCAGGGUACAAAUGAGCCCAAGUGACUGGUGGUGCUGUGAGGGGAGAACAGAGCAGACGACAGAGCCCAGAGAGUGAGCCGGAGGGCAGAGAGCAGAUACAGCAGUGGCAGAAGAAGCCCCCGACCCUGUCCCUCAGGGCCCAGCCCACUCACCGAGGACGAUGAGCUCUGCGUAGGCCUCGUUGUUCCCCUGGAGGUCCUGGGCUGAGACCACAGAGCAGUAGUACACACCGCUGUCCCCCCAAGCCGUCUGUUCAAAGGUCAGGUCAGCAUCUGCGUCAGGAGGAGACGCGUGAGGGCACCUCGGGGGAGGGGUGCCUGAUGCCCGCAGCCCCUGCCAUGAGCACAUGGGGAAGGGGGCUGCAGACAGACGAGUGAAAAUUGAAUCACUCAUACCAAGGGUGCUCUACCUUUUAGGCUUGGUUCUAAACACUUAAUGCGGGGAAUUUCAAGAAGGUUGUCAGAUGGCGCUGUUACCUUCCCUGUCUUGUAGAGAAAAGAAAGAGGUCUGGUGAAAUUACUGAUGAGCUGUACAAUUGUGGCAAAAACUGGGGUGGUGGGGCUGGGACGGUCUGACUCCAGAGCCAACACUUCAGACUUACGCCUUCCUCUGUCGCAUGUCCCAAAGCAAAAGUCGACUCCCCAAGACACGACCCACCACAGAGCCUAGUGCAGACCCAGGGGCCUGGGGCCUGGAUAAGGAAGCAAAGAUAAACAGGCCAGAUUCCAGGAAUCAGGAGUCACGCAGGCAUGAGAAGGCGGGGAUGUGAGGGAGAGACUUAGACUAGUCUCUUAGACUAGUUCCCUCGUCCUCCGGCCACCAUUGGCACCCCGCUUCCAGGUCAGGCCCAGGGCUUGGGGACGCUCUGUGAAGCAGCCCGGGGCAAGGAGCCUGUUAAUUACACCAGAAAAGAAAGUGUUUCGGCACAUCCAGUUUCCUCUCUGCUCCUCAGGCCCUAAUUAGUUAAAUCCCUCCAGCCAUUCACCAGGGCAGGACAGGGUGUGAGAUGGGGCUGCGGGGCAACUCCACC